UGCAUGCACUUAUCGGGAAGGGUGAGAACCUUCGAUUAAGGUUCGACUCGAGCGAAGGCGAGAGAACGUUGCCAGAGGCAACGGCCCGAAGGGUGAGGAACGAAGUGACGAAUAAUCCUUCCCCCACCACCA
Molecule: small RNA, 132 nt
Filed under: Kosakonia quasisacchari
Lineage: Bacteria; Pseudomonadati; Pseudomonadota; Gammaproteobacteria; Enterobacterales; Enterobacteriaceae
Also listed under: 3 other names
Description: Kosakonia sp. WCHEs120001 RtT sRNA
Rfam family: RtT RNA
About the family: This family represents a bacterial cis-regulatory element known as RtT RNA.
Source: RNAcentral